AAGUUAAGGGACAAUAAGCCUUUUUAUCUGAAUGCACAGCGUGUGUGUAACCUUGAAGUUGAGGGACUGACGAUCCUCACCCCUGAUGAUCACAACGGUGCCAGGGCUGUGCAGCUUCUCUAUCAAUGACAUGUCUUUUUUCAAGAAGUUCCAGCUGCAUAAAUACACGUUGGUGUCCUCCGGUCCCAGCCGAGACAGCCGAAAGGAAAACCCUGUUGCAGGGACAAGCCCCUGAGGUCCGACAGCGAUGUGGAGCAGGUGAUCUCAGCAGAGGAGUUGACUCUCAUCAGAGAGAUGGACUGGGGCUCUUGGGAAGUGGUCAGGAGAGAUGAAUUGUUACCGACCGCCUCACCUGCAUUUAUGGAAAAGAAACGAGCAGAUGAUUGUAUGAGGAAAAUCUUCAACUGAUCAGUUUGUAAACAAAGGGUGUAGAUGGUUGUGGAACAGCGGAAGGUGACCAAGUACAACUUUGAGCUAAUGGUGCACUUUAAAAACAGCUGGGGCUGCAAAGAAACAGGACGAAAGGACUCAGACACACCUUUAUCGUCUUAAAACCACACAACUCAUAUCCAUCCUUUCACACACACACACACACACUCUCUCA
This is a long non-coding RNA of Gasterosteus aculeatus aculeatus (three-spined stickleback), 604 nucleotides long. Lineage: Eukaryota; Metazoa; Chordata; Actinopteri; Perciformes; Gasterosteidae. The record is from Ensembl.